UACGGAGGAUGCAAGCGUUAUCCGGAAUGAUUGGGCGUAAAGCGUCCGCAGGUGGCUAUGUAAGUCUGCUGUUAAAGAGUGAGGCUCAACCUCAUAAAAGCAGUGGAAACUACAUAGCUAGAGUACGUUCGGGGCAGAGGGAAUUCCUGGUGUAGCGGUGAAAUGCGUAGAGAUCAGGAAGAACACCGGUGGCGAAGGCGCUCUGCUAGGCCGUAACUGACACUGAGGGACGAAAGCUAGGGGAGCGAAUGGG
This 253-nucleotide ribosomal RNA is filed under the name uncultured bacterium. RNAcentral's name for it is "partial 16S ribosomal RNA". It matches the Rfam family "Bacterial small subunit ribosomal RNA", at positions 524 to 776 of the family's 1533-position model. The record is from RNAcentral.